AACUGGGGAACCUGCCCCAUAGUCUGGGAUACCACUUGGAAACAGGUGCUAAUACCGGAUAAGAAAGCAGAUCGCAUGAUCAGCUUUUAAAAGGCGGCGUAAGCUGUCGCUAUGGGAUGGCCCCGCGGUGCAUUAGCUAGUUGGUAAGGUAAAGGCUUACCAAGGCGAUGAUGCAUAGCCGAGUUGAGAGACCGAUCGGCCACAUUGGGACUGAGACACGGCCCAA
RNAcentral lists this ribosomal RNA (226 nucleotides) under uncultured bacterium. RNAcentral's name for it is "partial 16S ribosomal RNA". It matches the Rfam family "Bacterial small subunit ribosomal RNA", at positions 112 to 334 of the family's 1533-position model. The record is from RNAcentral.